This 330-nucleotide unclassified non-coding RNA is filed under the name uncultured fungus. Its description in RNAcentral is "sequence contains ITS1". The stretch from base 1 to 105 matches the Rfam family "5.8S ribosomal RNA", at positions 50 to 154 of the family's 154-position model. The record is from RNAcentral. Lineage: Eukaryota; Fungi.
GAACUGCGAUAAGUAGUGUGAAUUGCAGAAUUCCGUGAACCAUCGAAUCUUUGAACGCAGAUUGCGCCCAAGGCUCCGGCUGAGGGCAUGUCUGGCUCAGAGUCGGUCUACCCCCAUCGCUGCUUCACGCAGUGGAUCUGGCGGUCCCGCUGCUCUUUUGGAGCGGGUCCGCUGAAGCGCAGAUGUGCGCCUCGUCGGUCCCUGACCCACGACGACUAGGUAGGCAGCUCGCUGCAUACCGUCGUCUGUUAGGAGCCGGCGAACCAUGCGUGCAUUACCCCAACUCUUUUUUUCGACCUGAGCUCAGGCAAGGCUACCCGCUGAACUUAA